This 792-nucleotide unclassified non-coding RNA is filed under the name Zea mays. Its description in RNAcentral is "misc RNA Zm00001eb305850". The record is from RNAcentral. Lineage: Eukaryota; Viridiplantae; Streptophyta; Magnoliopsida; Poales; Poaceae.
GCAGGGACGUGAGUAGCUCGACGUGGUGGGGAGCAACGACGGCCACAACGAGCUGGGAAAUCGACGGCGAGCAAGGAGAGAGCUUGGACUGGGGACGGGCUCGGUGAACGGUGACACGAUGAGCAAAGCGAGGUCACGGUGGAGCGAGCUCGGACACAAGCACACACAGCGUCUUCUUUGCGUCCUUCUCGUGUGCCCGUCUCAGACUCGAUGUCGCGUAGCACACGCAAGCAGCUGGCCGAGAGGAGCAGGGAGGGCGCCGAGGAAGCAAGGACGGCCAGCUCUGCCAUCACCAGCGAGCUCCAAGGACAGGGGAGGCAUGGCCAUGGCUGGGACGCCGAGAGAAGGGAGUAGGGCGCAGUCCGAGCUAGGCGCCAUGGGAGAUGGGGAGGAGCAUAGCAGGGAGAGAAGGGGCGACCGGGCGCCAUAGGAGAUGGGUUGGACCGAGCUCAGCGUUGGGGCUGGGGCGCCAUGGACAAUCUCCAAGGCCAAGAACUGAGGGGACGCGACGCUCGAGCGGUGGUAGAGCUUGGGGCAAGGCGAGCCCGACCAGAGCGUGGCGAUGGUUCACUGAAGAGAGGGAGUAGGGGCGCGGCGGCGGCCAGCGCCAUGGCUGAGGGAGCUCGACCACCAUGGAGAUGCGCUCGGCCAGGGAGGAACAAGGAGCUGGGGCUAGGCGCUUGCAGGGAAGAAGAUGAGGGAGAGACAGGCACGGCUAGGGAUGGACAGAGUCUUCGGCGGCGGCGGCGAGAUUUUUCGAGGGAGCUGAGCGAUGCGGAUGAGGACGAUGAC